Molecule: long non-coding RNA, 2165 nt
Organism: Anas platyrhynchos (mallard)
Lineage: Eukaryota; Metazoa; Chordata; Aves; Anseriformes; Anatidae
Source: RefSeq, a predicted model, not a curated record
GCUGCCACAGAGGCGGGGGCAGAGAUCGUCUUCAAGGCUGCUGUCAUCUGGAAUUUUAUGUACUUCAUUUUCUUUCACUCUGUAUGCCUGUCACAUCGGCUUAACUACCAGAGAUGACGUCACUUGUCUUUAAGCUCACCUGGUUUAAAGAAUGAAGUUAUGACUUCCUGGAGUUCUAGGCCAUAUUCUACAAGCCAGUUUGGAGACUGAAAAUUCUAUGGAGCUUUUUGGGAAGAAACUUUAUUUUGUUUUUGCUUCUGCUACCCAAGCAAUGAAAUUAAUAUGCAUAACUCCUACAAGUGACUGUUCUUCAGAAUUGAUGCCAAAAGUGAACCUUAUUGUUAUUUCUGUUCUUAAGCAGCAUAGCAGAUGCUAGUUGGCACAAUGCUCACAGACAGGUGAAUUCCAGAACAAGAUGAAUAGCAAGAGCAAGCUCUCAAUUCCUGCAGGAUUCUCUCUGCUGCCAAGUCUGAUUCUAUAAAACAUGACGUUCAAAUGGAGAGUGAGCGUAAUCCUAUUCUGAGUUACAGGUGCAUAAUUUCAAAGUCUUGUGCUUUGGCACUAUCCACAUUGAGGCAGAUACUGUCUUUUGCCUACUAUGCCUCCUCUUCACAUACUUCUUUUCUCUCUGAGAUGCAGUUGUACAACAUCCCUUUAAAAAAGCACUAGUCUGAGAGAAUAUAUUCCUGCUUGCUCCAGUAAAGCACAGUCAUAGAAACAUUACAAACAGGAUCGUUUCUUUUUGUCUUUCCUAUUCUGAGAAAUAUUGGCUUACAAUGGGUUAAAAGUCUGCUGCUAAGCACUGGCCAUUUUAAGGUGUAUUCUUCUCCCCUGCCGAUUUGCUCUCUGACCUCUUGGGGGCCAGGGCAGUUGCAGACUUCAUUUUUACUCUAUUUCCUGGUCUCUCUCCUGGCUGUGCACUCAAUGUUUCCACAGCAGAUUAAUGACAGCUAAUAAUAUCUGAUAUAUCUGGACAUUGCCACAUAAUGAGUUGCAGUCCCACUGGGUGCCCGAAGUGUCACUACUAACAAAUUCACCAGAGCUGCACAUAAUUAGCAUGUAAAGGGAGUGAUCAUGCAGUAAAUCUGGAGGGGAAGAUGGAUAGCCCAUGAGGAAAAAAUAUAAGAAAAAAAAAUACUGUUCUUAACACUCAUUGGUAAAUGUAUGUUUCUUGGCAUGAAUAUUUUCUCGAUAACAAACUGUGAACAGGUUACCUUUACAGUAACAUUAUUCCUUCCACGGCUGAUAGGCAGAAUUUCAUUAUGCCACUGCUAAUGUUACAAUAUUUCUGCAAAAUGUCACCAUAUGUAAAUUAGAAGAGGUUAGGGUUUCCAUUUUAGUUUUCUUUUGAGAUGCACUGUCCCUUCCUGCUCUGAUUUAAUUCUCCCUUCAACUAGUUUAUAGAUGUGUUAACAUUGACCAAACUCUUGCAAAAUAAAAUUGGCACUGGAGAAUCUUCUUUUUCAAAUAGCACAGCCAAAUAAGAAAGAAGAAACUCAAUAUGUGACAGAGAGCAUAGAAGAGUAGAAUUUAGUUCCAUUGAUGAGAUUGUAUCCAAAGUACAAUCUUUCCUGUCACAUCAGCAAAUACCCAACAAAGAAAAAUGGGAAGCAUAUACAGUUUGAGUUACCUGAUCUUACCACAUCUCCACCUUGUGACCACCUAGCUGCCCAUCAUACACUAAGUACCACCUGCAGACUGGACGCAUGCAGGCAAAAAGGCCUCCCCAGGAGAAAGAGGUUGACAAGGAGCAGAUGAAUUGUCCUGAUGGGCUGACUUCAGCCUGAAGAAUCCUAAAUGGUGCAGCUCUAAUCUAGUUUAAGUCAUUCACUCCUUCCCAUAGAAUCUAUUGUCCACCAGUGCUUAAGGCGUUUUGUUUUAAAGUUUUUAGUUUUAUUUGUGUUUAUUUUGGCUUUUAGGGUUAUUUGGAUAGUUGGUGAAAAAAAAAAAUAACUAUUUCACAGUACAAGUAUUUUCAGUCUAUUAUUUUACUGAACAGAGAGGUCUUUGGUCCUGAAGGCUUCAGCCUUUAAGUUGCUCUUGUGCAUAAUAUACUUCUGCUGUCAUAUGACAGGAGAGGGAAAAAAAAAAAAAAGCCUCACUUAAAAAAAAAAAAAAAAGUAUAAAAUGUUUGUGUAACUCAUAUUUUUCCUGUGAUAAUUACU